CAGUCGAGCGGAACGAAGAGGAGCUUGCUCCUUUGGCGUCGAGCGGCGGACGGGUGAGUAAUGCUUGGGAAUGUGCCUUAUGGUGGGGGACAACAGUUGGAAACGACUGCUAAUACCGCAUAAUGUCUUCGGACCAAAGUGGGGGACCUUCGGGCCUCACGCCAUAAGAUCAGCCCAAGUGGGAUUAGCUAGUUGGUAAGGUAAUGGCUUACCAAGGCGACGAUCCCUAGCUGGUUUGAGAGGAUGAUCAGCCACACUGGGACUGAGACACGGCCCAGACUCCUACGGGAGGCAGCAGUGGGGAAUAUUGCACAAUGGGCGCAAGCCUGAUGCAGCCAUGCCGCGUGUGUGAAGAAGGCCUUCGGGUUGUAAAGCACUUUCAGUAAGGAGGAAAGGUUAAGUGUUAAUAGCACUUACCUGUGACGUUACUUACAGAAGAAGCACCGGCUAACUCCGUGCCAGCAGCCGCGGUAAUACGGAGGGUGCGAGCGUUAAUCGGAAUUACUGGGCGUAAAGCGUACGCAGGCGGUU
This 531-nucleotide ribosomal RNA is filed under the name Pseudoalteromonas arabiensis. RNAcentral describes it as "bacterial SSU rRNA". It matches the Rfam family "Bacterial small subunit ribosomal RNA", at positions 59 to 580 of the family's 1533-position model. Lineage: Bacteria; Pseudomonadati; Pseudomonadota; Gammaproteobacteria; Alteromonadales; Pseudoalteromonadaceae. The record is from RNAcentral.